CAGCACCAUCGUAUUUGUUUCAGCGUGGCUGCCCUUUGGGGAUUUGCAGGAAUACUGCAGCAAAUCAUCCUGCAUGCAACGCUGACCUCUGGGAGGCUAACAAAUUGAGGUUCAUCUAUCCCUCCUCCCUCAGCCUGACUUUCAUUUUUUGUUGUUGCUGAUGAGUCUUCAACAGGUCUUUGCUUUCACCAUGUCAAAGAGGAUUAAUGAUGCCUUCCCUUUCCACUGUGUUCCCCACCUGUCAUCU
RNAcentral lists this long non-coding RNA (247 nucleotides) under Crocodylus porosus (Australian saltwater crocodile). Its description in RNAcentral is "lncRNA (ENSCPRG00005005085.1)". Lineage: Eukaryota; Metazoa; Chordata; Crocodylia; Crocodylidae. The record is from RNAcentral.